RNAcentral lists this ribosomal RNA (107 nucleotides) under Salmonella enterica subsp. enterica serovar Derby. The record is from RNAcentral. Lineage: Bacteria; Pseudomonadati; Pseudomonadota; Gammaproteobacteria; Enterobacterales; Enterobacteriaceae.
CGGUAACAGGAAGCAGCUUGCUGCUUCGCUGACGAGUGGCGGACGGGUGAGUAAUGUCUGGGAAACUGCCUGAUGGAGGGGGAUAACUACUGGAAACGGUGGCUAAU